AAUAGAUACCCUGGUAGUCCACGCCGUAAACGAUGAGUGCUAAGUGUUAGAGGGUUUCCGCCCUUUAGUGCUGCAGCUAACGCAUUAAGCACUCCGCCUGGGGAGUACGGCCGCAAGGCUGAAACUCAAAGGAAUUGACGGGGGGCCCGCACAAGCGGUGGAGCAUGUGGUUUAAUUCGAAGCAACGCGAAGAACCUUACCAGGUCUUGACAUCCUCUGCUAACCCUAGAGAUAGGGCGUUCCCCUUCGGGGGACAGAGUGACAGGUGGUGCAUGGUUGUCGUCAGCUCGUGUCGUGAGAUGUUGGGUUAAGUCCCGCAACGAGCGCAACCCUUGAUCUUAGUUGCCAGCAUUCAGUUGGGCACUCUAAGGUGACUGCCGGUGACAAACCGGAGGAAGGUGGGGAUGACGUCAAAUCAUCAUGCCCCUUAUGACCUGGGCUACACACGUGCUACAAUGGAUGGUACAAAGAGCUGCGAACCCGCGAGGGUAAGCCAAUCUCAUAAAGCCAUUCUCAGUUCGGAUUGU
RNAcentral lists this ribosomal RNA (527 nucleotides) under uncultured bacterium. Its description in RNAcentral is "bacterial SSU rRNA". It matches the Rfam family "Bacterial small subunit ribosomal RNA", at positions 777 to 1301 of the family's 1533-position model. The record is from RNAcentral.